AACGAACGCUGGCGGCAUGCCUAACACAUGCAAGUCGAACGAGACCUUCGGGUCUAGUGGCGCACGGGUGCGUAACGCGUGGGAACCUGCCCUUAGGUUCGGAAUACCUCCCCGAAAGGGGUGCUAAUACCGGAUAAUGUCUUCGGACCAAAGAUUUAUCGCCUUUGGAUGGGCCCGCGUUGGAUUAGCUAGUUGGUAGGGUAAAAGCCUACCAAGGCGACGAUCCAUAGCUGGUCUGAGAGGAUGAUCAGCCACACUGGGACUGAGACACGGCCCAGACUCCUACGGGAGGCAGCAGUGGGGAAUAUUGGACAAUGGGCGAAAGCCUGAUCCAGCAAUGCCGCGUGAGUGAUGAAGGCCUUAGGGUUGUAAAGCGCUUUUACCCGGGAUGAUAAUGACAGUACCGGGAGAAUAAGCUCCGGCUAACUCCGUG
Molecule: ribosomal RNA, 433 nt
Filed under: uncultured bacterium
Lineage: Bacteria
Description: partial 16S ribosomal RNA
Rfam family: Bacterial small subunit ribosomal RNA
Source: RNAcentral